RNAcentral lists this ribosomal RNA (405 nucleotides) under uncultured bacterium. Its description in RNAcentral is "partial 16S ribosomal RNA". It matches the Rfam family "Bacterial small subunit ribosomal RNA", at positions 30 to 526 of the family's 1533-position model. The record is from RNAcentral.
AUUGAACGCUAGCGGGAUGCCUUACACAUGCAAGUCGAACGCGUGGCGGAGGGGUGAGUAAUAUAUCGGAACGUGCCCAAUAGCGGGGGAUAACUACUCGAAAGAGUGGCUAAUACGGCAUACUCGUGGCGUGGCCGAUAACGGAUUAGCUAGUGGGUGGGGAAAAGGCUCACCAAGGCCACGAUCCGUAGCUGGUUUGAGAGGACGACCAGCCACACUGGAACUGAGACACGGCCCAGACUCCUACGGGAGGCAGCAGUGGGGAAUUUUGGGCAAUGGGCGAAACCCUGAUGCAGCCAUCCCGCGUGUAUGAGAAGGCCUUCGGGUUGUAAAGUACUGUUAGUAGGGAAGCGGUAUCUGCAGAAUAAGCACCGGCUAACUACGUGCCAGCAGCCGCGGUAAUUC